Molecule: ribosomal RNA, 1531 nt
Filed under: Corynebacterium diphtheriae
Lineage: Bacteria; Bacillati; Actinomycetota; Actinomycetes; Mycobacteriales; Corynebacteriaceae
Description: bacterial SSU rRNA
Rfam family: Bacterial small subunit ribosomal RNA
Source: RNAcentral
UUUUUUAUGGAGAGUUUGAUCCUGGCUCAGGACGAACGCUGGCGGCGUGCUUAACACAUGCAAGUCGAACGGAAAGGCCUAGCUUGCUAGGUACUCGAGUGGCGAACGGGUGAGUAACACGUGGGUGAUCUGCCUCGUACUUCGGGAUAAGCCUGGGAAACUGGGUCUAAUACUGGAUAGGACCAUGCUUUAGUGUGUGUGGUGGAAAGUUUUUUCGGUACGAGAUGAGCCCGCGGCCUAUCAGCUUGUUGGUGGGGUAAUGGCCUACCAAGGCGUCGACGGGUAGCCGGCCUGAGAGGGUGGACGGCCACAUUGGGACUGAGAUACGGCCCAGACUCCUACGGGAGGCAGCAGUGGGGAAUAUUGCACAAUGGGCGCAAGCCUGAUGCAGCGACGCCGCGUGGGGGAUGACGGCCUUCGGGUUGUAAACCUCUUUCGCUAGGGACGAAGCUUUUUGUGACGGUACCUAGAUAAGAAGCACCGGCUAACUACGUGCCAGCAGCCGCGGUAAUACGUAGGGUGCGAGCGUUGUCCGGAAUUACUGGGCGUAAAGAGCUCGUAGGUGGUUUGUCGCGUCGUCUGUGAAAUUCCGGGGCUUAACUUCGGGCGUGCAGGCGAUACGGGCAUAACUUGAGUGCUGUAGGGGAGACUGGAAUUCCUGGUGUAGCGGUGGAAUGCGCAGAUAUCAGGAGGAACACCGAUGGCGAAGGCAGGUCUCUGGGCAGUAACUGACGCUGAGGAGCGAAAGCAUGGGGAGCGAACAGGAUUAGAUACCCUGGUAGUCCAUGCCGUAAACGGUGGGCGCUAGGUGUGAGGGUCUUCCACGACUUUCGUGCCGUAGCUAACGCAUUAAGCGCCCCGCCUGGGGAGUACGGCCGCAAGGCUAAAACUCAAAGGAAUUGACGGGGGCCCGCACAAGCGGCGGAGCAUGUGGAUUAAUUCGAUGCAACGCGAAGAACCUUACCUGGGCUUGACAUAUGCAGGAUCGGCGUAGUGAUACGUUUUCCCUUGUGGUCUGUAUACAGGUGGUGCAUGGUUGUCGUCAGCUCGUGUCGUGAGAUGUUGGGUUAAGUCCCGCAACGAGCGCAACCCUUGUCUUAUGUUGCCAGCACGUGAUGGUGGGGACUCAUGAGAGACUGCCGGGGUUAACUCGGAGGAAGGUGGGGAUGACGUCAAAUCAUCAUGCCCCUUAUGUCCAGGGCUUCACACAUGCUACAAUGGUCGGUACAACGCGCUGCGAGCCUGUGAGGGUGAGCGAAUCGCUGAAAGCCGGCCUCAGUUCGGAUUGGGGUCUGCAACUCGACCCCAUGAAGUCGGAGUCGCUAGUAAUCGCAGAUCAGCAACGCUGCGGUGAAUACGUUCCCGGGCCUUGUACACACCGCCCGUCACGUCAUGAAAGUUGGUAACACCCGAAGCCAGUGGCCUAACCCUUGUGGGGGGAGCUGUCGAAGGUGGGAUCGGCGAUUGGGACGAAGUCGUAACAAGGUAGCCGUACCGGAAGGUGCGGCUGGAUCACCUCCUUUCUAAGGAG